AUGCAAGUAAUGUGGUUGGUCGUGCUGGCUGCUAAAAAAACUAAUGACACCUAUAAUGCCCGAUGUGGGCUACUGUAUGGGCAUGGGGCAGUGGACCCUUUUAAGUUUUAACUAUAUUUAAGUACUACAUAAAUAUGGAUAUAAAAAAUACCACAUCUCCAUUCAAAUUUGUCACUAAUUUAAGUGAUCUACAUCUAGACUCGUGAUUGAUGUAAGCAGAUGUCGAUCGUAUAACUAUGGUUGUAUCCUACAUUCCUACAUAUUUGAUAUCCAGAGUUUUUGCUAGUAUAUAUUAAUUCAUAACAGUAAAGAAGGAUGCAUAUUUAAUAUACGUCAAGGUAUGUUUAUGUUAUGGUAAAAGAACAACACUAAUGCACGUUUCUUAUUACAUAACACAUUCUUUAGCCAACUAUUACUAGCGUAUUAUUUGUCUAAUCAUCUUGAAAUACGAAUCAACGUAAAGGAAAAAAGAAUACCCACAUUUGUCUAUCUUAGCAUCUAUUAAAGAAGUUUUACAUUUAUUUAUAAACCCUACACUAGACAAUUCGGAUGGAAGUUUAGAGAUAUAUGACUUGUACAAGCUACAGCACCUUCUACAAAGGCAUUUGGUCGACUCAUAUAACAAAAUAUUUGACUCUCAAAGAUUUUUCACCUGUGUUGUUGUCUGGGUUUUU
RNAcentral lists this long non-coding RNA (674 nucleotides) under Helianthus annuus (common sunflower). RNAcentral's name for it is "hypothetical non coding rna". Lineage: Eukaryota; Viridiplantae; Streptophyta; Magnoliopsida; Asterales; Asteraceae. The record is from RNAcentral.